GAGGCUGUGGCUGUAAAGGAUUGCAGAAUUUGUGUGUUUCCUACAAAUACCCUUGUACUCCAAAUCUGUAAAUCAGCCGAUGGAAGAUGUGUGUUAAAUGAUCUGGCUGAGAACUGAUCUGCUUCUCGUGUUCCCUGUUUAUGUUUCAGUCUGGAGAAACCCUCAGAGCAGCUGAGUUUAGUUUGAUGACAUUGCUGCCACCGUGCUCUGACUCCCAGUUCCUUGGCUGAAAGGAAAUCCAAACCUGCAUGGCCUUCUUCCCAUUGUAAUUACAUUCCAAAUUCUUAAACCCUCUAAGUAAAUGUGAAUUAGAAAGGAUGAUUUUAAAUGUAAUGAAGGUGCUGUAGGUAAAAAGAUGGCAGUGAUUGGGAAUGUCAGCUCUGCAGUGGCUGGAGGAACAAGUCCUCUCCAUUCUCCCUCUGCAACAGAAGUGAUGAACCCUGGAUCUCUGUGGACAAAAGGAGCUGCUCCACUCAGAUAUUCAGUGUUUACCAGGCAGUGUGGCAGGGCUGUGUCCUUCCUGGAAGUGCUUUGGGAUACCCUGGGCAGGGAGCACACUGCUCUGACCCCUGACCAUCAGACCCCUCAGACCUGAGCUUCACCCAUGUUCCCCUGGAGAAAUUAAAUUUGGGUAAGUAACACCAGACUCUUCUCCUGAGCUGGCAGGAAGUGAAGGAAUAUGGCAGAUACAGUUUUGG
Molecule: long non-coding RNA, 698 nt
Filed under: Cyanistes caeruleus (blue tit)
Lineage: Eukaryota; Metazoa; Chordata; Aves; Passeriformes; Paridae
Description: lncRNA (ENSCCEG00000021355.1)
Source: RNAcentral